CCAGCGGUGCUGAUUAGGGGUUGUUCUUACUCUCCCUUGCAAUUAUUUUGUACUUGUAGGGGUGCAUGUAGGCACGGUCCUUGUGAUGCGGUACGUGAUGGUGUGUGAGUGGUAUUUGGUUUGUGUGGUUGGCGGGCUCUUUGCUUGUGCAUUGGACCGUUCACCAACAUACCUUUUCAUUGUAUGCUGCAAGUGCACCAUUUUGCCUUGGGCGACGUGUGGUCCCUAUGUUGGAUUCCGAUUAACGGUAUUGUUGUUGUCCCUUUAAAGAGUGAUAUUCGCUCUACGUCCGUAAAAGGAGGUCGAGCGGACCAUGAAACUUGACUCGUUAUCCUCCUGUUUUGUGAAAACAAGCAUGAUAGGGUUGGAUUAUGAUCUCAAGUUGGGCCCUAGGAUACAGAAAGUUGUGUGGGAGUUGAUGUAAAAACGUCGCAAACCCAAAGCGUUGGUACGCUAAUGAUGGAUGACAUUCGAGUGUGUUGUGAUUCUUUCAUUCUAGAAAGGUUCAUGCUCGCCGAUGUCGACCAAGGAGUGCUACCUGGUUGAUCCUGCCAGUAGUCAUAUGCUUGUCUCAAAGAUUAAGCCAUGCAUGUGUAAGUAUGAACUAAUUCAGACUGUGAAAC
RNAcentral lists this unclassified non-coding RNA (623 nucleotides) under Salicornia persica. RNAcentral describes it as "partial contains external transcribed spacer and small subunit ribosomal RNA". The stretch from base 536 to 623 matches the Rfam family "Eukaryotic small subunit ribosomal RNA", at positions 1 to 87 of the family's 1831-position model. Lineage: Eukaryota; Viridiplantae; Streptophyta; Magnoliopsida; Caryophyllales; Amaranthaceae. The record is from RNAcentral.